CGUACGAGUUCUCGUUGAUGAUCGGUGCUUGCACCGAGAUUCAACAUGGAACGAGUGGCGGACGGGUGAGUAACACGUGGGUAACCUGCCCUUAAGUGGGGGAUAACAUUUGGAAACAGAUGCUAAUACCGCAUAGAUCCAAGAACCGCAUGGUUCUUGGCUGAAAGAUGGCGUAAGCUAUCGCUUUUGGAUGGACCCGCGGCGUAUUAGCUAGUUGGUGAGGUAAUGGCUCACCAAGGCGAUGAUACGUAGCCGAACUGAGAGGUUGAUCGGCCACAUUGGGACUGAGACACGGCCCAAACUCCUACGGGAGGCAGCAGUAGGGAAUCUUCCACAAUGGACGCAAGUCUGAUGGAGCAACGCCGCGUGAGUGAAGAAGGCUUUCGGGUCGUAAAACUCUGUUGUUGGAGAAGAAUGGUCGGCAGAGUAACUGUUGCCGGCGUGACGGUAUCCAACCAGAAAGCCACGGCUAACUACGUGCCAGCAGCCGCGGUAAUACGUAGGUGGCAAGCGUUAUCCGGAUUUAUUGGGCGUAAAGCGAGCGCAGGCGGUUUUUUAAGUCUGAUGUGAAAGCCCUCGGCUUAACCGAGGAAGCGCAUCGGAAACUGGGAAACUUGAGUGCAGAAGAGGACAGUGGAACUCCAUGUGUAGCGGUGAAAUGCGUAGAUAUAUGGAAGAACACCAGUGGCGAAGGCGGCUGUCUGGUCUGUAACUGACGCUGAGGCUCGAAAGCAUGGGUAGCGAACAGGAUUAGAUACCCUGGUAGUCCAUGCCGUAAACGAUGAAUGCUAGGUGUUGGAGGGUUUCCGCCCUUCAGUGCCGCAGCUAACGCAUUAAGCAUUCCGCCUGGGGAGUACGACCGCAAG
This 866-nucleotide ribosomal RNA is filed under the name uncultured bacterium. RNAcentral describes it as "bacterial SSU rRNA". It matches the Rfam family "Bacterial small subunit ribosomal RNA", at positions 63 to 892 of the family's 1533-position model. The record is from RNAcentral.